AUUGAACGCUGGCGGCAGGCUUAACACAUGCAAGUCGAGCGGGGGAAGGUAGCUUGCUACCGGACCUAGCGGCGGACGGGUGAGUAAUGCUUAGGAAUCUGCCUAUUAGUGGGGGACAACAUCUCGAAAGGGGUGCUAAUACCGCAUACGUCCUACGGGAGAAAGCAGGGGAUCUUCGGACCUUGCGCUAAUAGAUGAGCCUAAGUCGGAUUAGCUAGUUGGUGGGGUAAAGGCCUACCAAGGCGACGAUCUGUAGCGGGUCUGAGAGGAUGAUCGGCCACACGGGGACUGAGACACGGCCCAGACUCCUACGGGAGGCAGCAGUGGGGAAUAUGGGACAAUGGGGGGAACCCUGAUCCAGCCAUGCCGCGUGUGUGAAGAAGGCUUUAUGGUUGUAAAGCACUUUAAGCGAGGAGGAGGCUACUUUAGUUAAUACCUAGAGAUAGUGGACGUUACUCGCAGAAUAAGCACCGGCUAACUCUGUGCCAGCCGCCGCGGUAA
RNAcentral lists this ribosomal RNA (501 nucleotides) under uncultured bacterium. Its description in RNAcentral is "partial 16S ribosomal RNA". It matches the Rfam family "Bacterial small subunit ribosomal RNA", at positions 30 to 523 of the family's 1533-position model. The record is from RNAcentral.